Molecule: long non-coding RNA, 221 nt
Filed under: Solanum tuberosum (potato)
Lineage: Eukaryota; Viridiplantae; Streptophyta; Magnoliopsida; Solanales; Solanaceae
Description: long non-coding RNA (STUB_LNC005583)
Source: RNAcentral
CCGAUGGUCCCGCCUCUGAUCUACUCCUCUUGUUCUAUGCCAUGAGAUGUUGAAGCCUAUAUUGAAUCAUUAGCAAGUAUCCUUCGCUCCGGCGGCCUUUCUCUUCCCAGUCCUCGAGACACAUUCCGCUUUUCUUAUCUCCAAUCCAUAAGUUAAGCUCUCCCAAAUCGCUUCUCAAGCUUUCUAAUUCUUGAGUUACGCUCUCGAGAGCGUACUUANNN